CUACGGGUCGCUGCAGUGAGGAAUAUUGCGCAAUGGGGGCAACCCUGACGCAGCGACGCCGCGUGAGUGAGGAAGGCCCUCGGGUCGUAAAGCUCUGUCAAGAGGAAAGAAGUGCAUAGUAGUUAAUACCUGCUAUGUUUGACGGUACCUCUAAAGGAAGCACCGGCUAACUCCGUGCCAGCAGCCGCGGUAAUACGGAGGGUGCAAGCGUUGUUCGGAAUCACUGGGCGUAAAGGGCGCGCAGGCGGCCUGGUAAGUCAGAUGUGAAAGCCCACGGCUUAACCGUGGAAGUGCAUUUGAAACUGUCAGGCUUGAGUACCAGAGGGGAAAGUGGAAUUCCCGGUGUAGAGGUGAAAUUCGUAGAUAUCGGGAGGAAUACCGGUGGCGAAGGCGACUUUCUGGCUGAGUACUGACGCUGAGGCGCGAAAGCGUGGGGAGCAAACAGGAUUAGAUACCCCAGUAGUC
Molecule: ribosomal RNA, 465 nt
Filed under: uncultured bacterium
Lineage: Bacteria
Description: partial 16S ribosomal RNA
Rfam family: Bacterial small subunit ribosomal RNA
Source: RNAcentral